This 1510-nucleotide long non-coding RNA is filed under the name Fragaria vesca (wild strawberry). Its description in RNAcentral is "long non-coding RNA (FVES_LNC000290)". The record is from RNAcentral. Lineage: Eukaryota; Viridiplantae; Streptophyta; Magnoliopsida; Rosales; Rosaceae.
UACCGAUCACAUCCUAUUUCAUGAGAUUUUUGAAAAUUUUGCUUCCUCUAUAUAGUUGGCUCACAAAGUUGUACACUAGCAUAUAACCUACCAAACAAGUUAUACCACAUUAGUAGGCACGUUAUAAUUCCGAUGACUAAAAUUCACAAAAUAAAAAUUGACCGUAUGAUGUGAUCAUUAUAGUGAAACAUGGCUAUGGUAUAAAAUUUAACUGGAUUCAACAAUGUUCGGGGCUCGAUCAAAGCGGUCAACCCUAAUUUAUUUUUACUUCUCACACGAAAACUAUCUUACCUACCUCUUCGUGACCUAGUUUGGUGGAUUUUUCAACACAAAAAAGUGUCACAUAGAUGAGACAUAACCACCCAUGUAAAACUUUGGGACCGUUUACCACCUGAGGAUAGGGCUCUCCUUAGUGAAGCAUAAGCGUAAAUAGGGUUGACCGUUUCGAUCGGAGCCUAAACAUUGGCGAAUUAAAGUGAUUUUUCCACCGUAGCUGUAUUUUACUAUAUCGAUCACAUCAUAUUUCACGAGAUUUUUAAAAAUUUUGCUUCCUCUAUAUAGUUGGUUCACAAAGUUGUACACUAACAUAUAACAUAUCAAACAAGUUAUAAUACUUUAGUAGGCAUGUUAUGAUUUCGAUGACUAAAAUUCACAAAAUGAAAAUUGACCGUAUAAUGUGAUCAUUAUAGUGAAACAUGGCUAUGGUAUAAAAUUCAACUGGAUUCAACAAUGUUCGGGGCUCGAUCAAAGCGGUCAACCCUAAUUCAUAUUCACUUAUCACACGAAAACUAUCUUACCUACCUCUUUGUGACCUAGUUUGGUGGAUUCUUCAACACAAUAAAGUCUCACAUAGAUGAGAUAUAACCACCCAUGUAAAACUUUGGGGACGUUUACCUCCCGAGGAUAGGGCUCUCCUUAGUGAAGCAUAAACGUAAAUAGGGUUGACCGCUUCGAUCGGGACCAAAACUUUGGUAAAUUAAAGUGAUUUUUCUACCGUAGCCAUAUUUUACUAUACCGAUCACAUCCUAUUUCACAAGAUUUUUGAAAAUUUUGCUUUCUCCAUAUAGUUCGUUCACAAAGUUGUACACUAGCAUAUAACCUACCAAACAAGUUAUACCACAUUAGUAGGUACGUUGUGAUUCAAAUUACUAAAAUUCAGACGCAGUUGUGAAGUGGGUCCCGCCUGUGGUCCGUGACAUUUUUCGGUGAAUUUUUCCGACACUGGAGCUAUUUUCUAUGCAUUUUUAAAGUUUUGAAAUGGUGGAAAAAAAAGUAAAACUUUAAUGACAUUGACAGAUUAGUGACUUAGGACGAAUGAGGUUGUAACAUGUGGCAAUUAGUGUUGAAUUUUCAGAAAAGGAAUCCCCCGAAAUGGAAACUUACCAUUUCUUUUAUAGUAGAUUUCCAUAAAUAGUAACUUUUGUUUUUAAAGCAUAAUUAUCCCCCAAAAUGGAAACUUACCCUUCCUUUUAUAGUUGAUUUCCAUAAAUAGUAACUUUUAUUUUUAGAG